GGGGAGAGACUGCAGAGGCCGGUUGACUCGUGCUGAAGGAGAAAGGCAACAAAAAAUAAAAAAGGAACAGAUGACUUCAUUCUCGGGAAGGCUCCGUCCUACGUGGACCAAUUUCCUGGGGACUGUGGUGGAACAGCUCGGCUGCCGUUGGAAGCACUUAAAACUAAACCAGAUAAAGACCAGAAAAUUCUCAGCAUUGCCUGAGCCGAGCAAGGGCAGACACCCGCAGGGACAAACUCGGCAGAGGCUGGGGAACGAAAGCCAGUGGCUGGACUGGGAGCCUUGGAACAGGGUGAGGCUCAGCUGGAGGCCCAGCAAGGGAAGAUGAACUCGGCAGGUCUAAGCUCUGGCUGGCCUGGCUCCUGCUUACCCCACUGGAGCCUUCAACUGGGGGGUUUGUGGGAGGUGUGUCCACGGGGAUCUGAUGGGCCUGAAGGAUGCCCCCACCCCCAAGCCCCUGCUGGCAUGCUAAUCUCAUCCUGCUAAUUAAAGUUUGCAGUUCUGUCCCUAACUCAACUCCCCACUCUUGAACAUUAUUAACUGAAAGGCAAACAAUUGCUGUUCCAGACAGAAACCAGAGGAAAAAGGCCUCUGCAGUUCACAUUCUAAAAAGGAUUAAAAAAAAAAAAAAAAAAAAGAUGUUUAUACUUACCAGCAAAUGACUCCUAAUGAACAGACCAGAUUUUGGAAACUUAAUUUUCAGAGCCCCCUGCCCCAACCUGUUUUGUGUUUUUAUCCCCCUUCCAAGGACACGAGGCUGGGGAUUUGGUCGCUACAGCCUCUCCUGGUCUCUUGGUCUUAGAUGAUCAACCAGGGCUUUUCCAGGCCCAGGAUCACCUCUCCAGACUAGACUCUCUGGAGUCUAAAGCGACAAGCCGGUUCCCCACUAAGGCCUCUGGGUCUGGGGCGCUGCAGCAAGAUAAAGUUAUCUUCAGCUCUGUUCCCAGCAGCCCCCACUUCUCAGCUUUGGAGCCCUCCCUGAAUGCAUGAAUCAAAAGUCUUGGGCUCCAGGAAAAGAGAGGACCCGACCCCACCCCCACCCCAAGUCCUUCCCCAGUCCUUUGCCGCCAGCAACCUGGUGUGGGAAGGCAGCACCGCCCUCCACUCCUCCCGCUGGGCUGGUCUUCCAAGCAAAACUCAUCUCUGGGGACAGGUUUAGAGUUUAGCUGAUGUGAGAGUCCUGCCCCUGGGCAGUGUUUGAAUAGGACUGAGAUGACGGAGGACACCAGCACCACCCAGAGCUAAGGAGGACCUGGGAGGUCAUGCAAACCAACCUCUUCUGCUUUCCUGUUUUACAGGUGGGCAAACUGAGGCCCAGAGAGGGAAGAGACCUGACUCAGAUCUGCCACUGGUUAGAGGCCAAGCCUGGACCAGGACCCAGGUGCCUUGCCUUCCAGUACUGUGCUCACUACCCCGCUCUGAUCCUUCUGUGGAAUUAUCUGUAGGAUCAGAAGUUCAGGAGCUCUGAAGUCAGGCUGCCUGAGAUCAAGUACUUCUAGGUGAGACCGGGGACAAAUGAAUUCUCUUUGAGCCCCCGCGGUCUUGUGUGUUAAGUGGGGAAGAGAGUACCAGCCCUGGGUUGUCUUAAGGAAUAAAGGUGGUCCAGGAAAAGUCCUGGCA
This 1620-nucleotide long non-coding RNA is filed under the name Ursus maritimus (polar bear). RNAcentral's name for it is "lncRNA (ENSUMAG00000020259.1)". The record is from RNAcentral. Lineage: Eukaryota; Metazoa; Chordata; Mammalia; Carnivora; Ursidae.